This 564-nucleotide ribosomal RNA is filed under the name uncultured bacterium. RNAcentral describes it as "bacterial SSU rRNA". It matches the Rfam family "Bacterial small subunit ribosomal RNA", at positions 339 to 916 of the family's 1533-position model. The record is from RNAcentral.
CUACGGGAGGCAGCAGUGGGGAAUUUUCCGCAAUGGGCGAAAGCCUGACGGAGCAAUACCGCGUGAGGAAGGAAGGCUCUUGGGUUGUAAACCUCUUUUCUCAGGGAAGAACAAAAUGACGGUACCUGAGGAAUAAGCAUCGGCUAACUCCGUGCCAGCAGCCGCGGUAAUACGGAGGAUGCAAGCGUUAUCCGGAAUUAUUGGGCGUAAAGCGUCCGCAGGUGGCAGUUCAAGUCUGCUGUCAAAGGUCAGGGCUCAACCCUGAACAGGCAGUGGAAACUGAACAGCUAGAGUGCGGUAGGGGCAGAGGGAAUUCCCAGUGUAGCGGUGAAAUGCGUAGAGAUUGGGAAGAACACCGGUGGCGAAAGCGCUCUGCUAGGCCUGCACUGACACUCAGGGACGAAAGCUAGGGGAGCGAAUGGGAUUAGAUACCCCAGUAGUCCUAGCCGUAAACGAUGGAUACUAGGCGUAGCUUGUAUCGACCCAAGCUGUGCCGUAGCUAACGCGUUAAGUAUCCCGCCUGGGGAGUACGCGCGCAAGCGUGAAACUCAAAUGAAUUGACGC